GUGAAUGUAAUUUAAAUAAAAUAUUUGCUUUGCAAGUAAAUCUUCUAGGUUUAACUCCUAGCUUUUACA
Molecule: transfer RNA, 69 nt
Filed under: Phanogenia gracilis
Lineage: Eukaryota; Metazoa; Echinodermata; Crinoidea; Comatulida; Comatulidae
Description: tRNA-Ala
Rfam family: tRNA
About the family: Transfer RNA (tRNA) molecules are approximately 80 nucleotides in length. Their secondary structure includes four short double-helical elements and three loops (D, anti-codon, and T loops). Further hydrogen bonds mediate the characteristic L-shaped molecular structure. tRNAs have two regions of fundamental functional importance: the anti-codon, which is responsible for specific mRNA codon recognition, and the 3' end, to which the tRNAs corresponding amino acid is attached (by aminoacyl-tRNA synthetases). tRNAs cope with the degeneracy of the genetic code in two manners: having more than one tRNA (with a specific anti-codon) for a particular amino acid; and 'wobble' base-pairing, i.e. permitting non-standard base-pairing at the 3rd anti-codon position.
Source: RNAcentral